This is a long non-coding RNA of Oreochromis aureus, 536 nucleotides long. RefSeq lists it as uncharacterized. The transcript is spliced from 3 exons. Lineage: Eukaryota; Metazoa; Chordata; Actinopteri; Cichliformes; Cichlidae. The record is from RefSeq and is a predicted model, not a curated record.
CACACACACACACACAAACAAAAAAACCCGACCCCUCGAAAGACUGAUCUUUCUCUUUUCCCCCGAUAGUUGCACUCUCGCAGCACACACACACAUUGGUGGAGAUGGUGUGUUGAGCAGAGCCUGGUCACAGACUUCUGCACUGACAGCCAACUUGAAGUUGAAGUCGCUGAAGGUAUUACAGAGGUAAGAAUUGAUUGUGGGAAGGAGUUUUACUUGGCACCGUUCAUCCAGGAAAGGCUGGCAGAAUACAGCUACAAUUGGCAGAGGCAGCCCUCCAUUCAGACACCUUCUACAAGGGUAACAAUGUGGUGUUAAAAUAAUAAAUGUGAACCCGUACGGGGAUAGCGGUCGAUGCCGGCGACCAGAGCGUGGCUGUAGGGACGGUCAGCGGCGGUCAGUUAAUUUUUCUUGCAUCUGAACUGCGUAAACACAGAGGUCAUCCCACAUAUGGUCCACCCGUUAAAGGGGGACAGAGGCCCUCAGGACCAAGAAGAACUGGACCUUGUAACGCUGGAGUGUAUGUUAUAAGUGAU